AUUGAACGCUGGCGGCAUGCCUUACACAUGCAAGUCGAACGGUAACGCGGGGCAACCUGGCGGCGAGUGGCGAACGGGUGAGUAAUAUAUCGGAACGUGCCCAGUCGUGGGGGAUAACUGCUCGAAAGAGCAGCUAAUACCGCAUACGACCUGAGGGUGAAAGCGGGGAUCUUCGGACCUCGCGCGAUUGGAGCGGCCGAUAUCAGAUUAGGUAGUUGGUGGGGUAAAGCCACCAAGCCGACGAUCUGUAGCUGGUCUGAGAGGACGACCAGCCACACUGGGACUGAGACACGGCCCAGACUCCUACGGGAGGCAGCAGUGGGGAAUUUUGGACAAUGGGGGCAACCCUGAUCCAGCCAUGCCGCGUGCGGGAA
This 374-nucleotide ribosomal RNA is filed under the name uncultured bacterium. RNAcentral's name for it is "bacterial SSU rRNA". It matches the Rfam family "Bacterial small subunit ribosomal RNA", at positions 29 to 409 of the family's 1533-position model. The record is from RNAcentral.